This 253-nucleotide ribosomal RNA is filed under the name uncultured bacterium. RNAcentral's name for it is "partial 16S ribosomal RNA". It matches the Rfam family "Bacterial small subunit ribosomal RNA", at positions 524 to 776 of the family's 1533-position model. The record is from RNAcentral.
UACGUAGGGUGCAAGCGUUGCCCGGAUUUAUUGGGCGUAAAGGGUGCGUAGGUGGCGCUGUAAGUCGGGUGUGAAAUCCUGAGGCUUAACCUCGGAACUGCAUUCGAUACUGCGGCGCUUGAGGACUGGAGAGGAGACUGGAAUUCAUGGUGUAGCAGUGAAAUGCGUAGAGAUCAUGAGGAAGACCAGUGGCGAAGGCGGGUCUCUGGACAGUUCCUGACACUGAGGCACGAAGGCCAGGGGAGCAAACGGG